This 254-nucleotide long non-coding RNA is filed under the name Homo sapiens (human). RNAcentral's name for it is "HSALNT0176572". Lineage: Eukaryota; Metazoa; Chordata; Mammalia; Primates; Hominidae. The record is from RNAcentral.
AAAAAAAUUAAAUAAAUAAUAAAAAAGCAGAAAGGAAGCUGGUGCGGCAGGGUGCAGAGUGCUGGAGAUAGGUGCCUGCUAAGAGAGGGAGAGCAAGGCAGGGCUAAGCCCAGGGGCCUAGAGGCACUUGGAUUCAUCCUGGGUGUGAGGAAGAGGCUUUUUGGAGGGUGAAGCAGAAGAGGUGAUGUGACCUGAUAUGAUAUGUUUUUAGAAGGAUGAUGCCAGGUGCUCUAUAGAGAUUGGAUUGAGGCCAG